Molecule: long non-coding RNA, 1898 nt
Filed under: Haliotis rubra (blacklip abalone)
Lineage: Eukaryota; Metazoa; Mollusca; Gastropoda; Lepetellida; Haliotidae
Description: uncharacterized LOC124262924
Source: RNAcentral
UAUAUAUAUAUACUGAAAAGGAACCCUGAGACUUUCUUCAUUUUCCUGAAACUGUGGAAAUCUAGACUUGCCACAUAAUCUAGACUUGCAUGGUAGCUUUCAAUGAUUCUUUAUAACGAACAAAAUUGCUUUGCCAGAUCAGGAAUAUUACUGAAUUGUAGAAAAACUAGUUGCAACUUAACUGUAUUCAGAUUGUUUACAUUAUAACACUCAACAUUCACUAGGAACCUUUUGUGCUUUCAUUUUAAUUCCUGCAUUCUGAUUGGCUGAACUGGUCACAUAUUAUUGCAUUCAUUUCCCAAAGAAUGUAAAACAUUAGGCCAUGCCAAUGAAUGUGGAUUUCACAACAGAUUGUCAGAGAGUUGAGGGAUUUCACUUUCUGAAUGAAACUACAUAUCUGCAGGCUUCUUUUUUUUUUUCACUCAUCAAGGUAACACAAAUGACAUGUGUUCUUUUUUUAAAAUACAGUAUGUAUUCCUUUGCCAGGAAUGUUCAUCAAUCUCAAUCUGUCUGCUUUAAUUUGUAUAAUUGUUUUUGAUAAAAUCGUAGAUAUCAUAUUUGUUUCAUCAUCCAGUUUAAUUAGACAUAUAUGAGGAUUGACUGUAUUUUUUUGUCAUGGAUUCUUACAAAAGUCUGCACAUUGUUUUUUUUAUUCAUAACUCAAUGAACCAAAAACAAACAGUCAAUCCUUAAUUAAACUAGUCAUAGUUUAGUCAAAGGCAUUGUUCAUAGUAAAUGUUGAGAAGUGUAUAAGAAUAUCUACAUUAGGCCAGACCUAUUUUUAUUUCUUGUUGUACGAAUUUUUGUCCUCAGAAACCAAAAGGCAUGAGGGGCAAAAUGUAAAUACACAUUAAAAGUAUUUUCUUUUGGAAAUUUAUGAAGUGUAUAUGGGUAAAAAACAAUCAAAUUCUCUUGUAAGUUUACAUUUUUGGCCAAUAAAAACAUUAGGAUUCUAUUUUUUGAGCGGGGAAAAUUAAUUAUUAUUAUUUUCUUAUUCUUGAAAAAACACGACCGGCGGAUCCGUAAAACAAGAAAUAAAAUUGGUCUGGCCUUGGCAUGUUUUUCGCAUUUUUGGCCUUUAUUUUGUUCCAAAGAUAGGUAGUGCUGUGUGUGUCUGUGGACAGUUCUGUAUUAUAACAAUGCAGGUAGUGUGUGUCUUUAGACACUUGUUUUAUACUGUAGGCAAGUACCGGUAGUUGAGCUGAAACUAGUCAAUUUCUGUAGCAUGAAUAAGUUGAUGUCUUGAGUUUUCAGUCAUCAAUAUUCACUUUCCACUGACAACGCCGAAGACCUGGGUUCGAAUCCCCACAUGGGUACAAUGUGUGAAGCCCGUUUCUUGUGUGCCCCGUCGUGAUGUUGCUGGAAUAUUGCUAAAAGCGGCGUAAAACCAAACUCAGUCAGACUUUUCUCUGACAGUUUGUCUUGUUAGCUGUCUACAUAUAAUGAGAACUAUGGUUGAGAUGUGAGAAAAGCAUCAGGUUUUCAAUAGUUUCAUAAGAUACACUGCAGUUUCCUUCCAGAAUGUGCCCCUUAGUGUCCAGGAUCUGCUACUUGUAGGCUAUAAUUCCAGAUUUGUUUAUUUCGUGAUAAUUGAUUUCACCAGUGCCUGCAACUGUUACUUUUAGUUUCCUACUACUAAGCUGAGAUGCUGAAAUGUAUUUUUUAAAAACCAACCUUUUAAUCCGAUCUCACUGAAUCAAAUUGUGUUUGUUAGGUGUUUAUUGUGGAGCUGUUUAGACAAAGAUAAUGGCUGGCCAUGAAGCACGUAACAUUAGUGCCUUGUCGUAUUGACAGCUUUAUCACAAAUCUGUGUUCAGUCAUCUAAACUUUGUUGUGUUUGAAUUUUUUACUUGUACAUGGCUUUUACAGUACUUAAAUAAACUCAUGUGACAACUGUG